UCCAAAUUGAACUUAAAUAUAGUUUCGUUGCGUCGCCAUUAUUCAUUCCCGUUCGAAAUUUGGUGGCGUUUAAACGUGUGCUCGGUUAAUAUAAGAUUACUUCUAUUUUGACAUUUCCACCAACAAUAAUGGAUCAGCAGCGCAGAGAGGAAAACACCGAAGAAGUGGCCCACGAACCGGCCAAAGAGAAGGUUGAUGGAGUCGCCAACGAGUCUGCUAAGGAGAAGCCCGAACAAGAAGAGGAGGAUAAUUGCUCGCAGAAAUCGGAUACGGAGAACGAAGAAAAUAAAUAUGGCGAGAAUUAAUCAAAUAAAAGCUUGAUGUUAAACAAAUUGAAGUGGAACAAUAAAAGAAAAUAACAUUAAUUAA
Molecule: long non-coding RNA, 369 nt
Organism: Toxorhynchites rutilus septentrionalis
Lineage: Eukaryota; Metazoa; Arthropoda; Insecta; Diptera; Culicidae
Exons: 2
Source: RefSeq, a predicted model, not a curated record